GAUGAACGCUGGCGGCGUGCUUAACACAUGCAAGUCGAACGAGAAGUGAAGACGGAAACCUUCGGGCGGAAGGCUUUAUUUCGAGUGGCGGACGGGUGAGUAACGCGUGGGUAACCUGCCUCAUACAGGGGGAUAACAGUUGGAAACGACUGUUAAUACCGCAUAAGACCACAGCACCGCAUGGUGCGGGGGUAAAAACUCCGGUGGUAUGAGAUGGACCCGCGUUCGAUUAGCCAGUUGGCGGGGUAACGGCCCACCAAAGCGACGAUCGAUAGCCGAUCUGAGAGGAUGACCGGCCACAUUGGGACUGAGACACGGCCCAAACUCCUACGGGAGGCAGCAGUGGGGAAUAUUGCACAAUGGGGGAAACCCUGAUGCAGCGACGCCGCGUGAGUGAAGAAGUAUUUCGGUAUGUAAAGCUCUAUCAGCAGGGAAGAAAAUGACGGUACCUGAGUAAGAGGCCCCGGCUAACUACGUG
RNAcentral lists this ribosomal RNA (478 nucleotides) under uncultured bacterium. RNAcentral's name for it is "partial 16S ribosomal RNA". It matches the Rfam family "Bacterial small subunit ribosomal RNA", at positions 28 to 507 of the family's 1533-position model. The record is from RNAcentral.